Molecule: ribosomal RNA, 253 nt
Filed under: uncultured bacterium
Lineage: Bacteria
Description: partial 16S ribosomal RNA
Rfam family: Bacterial small subunit ribosomal RNA
Source: RNAcentral
UACGGAGGGUGCGAGCGUUGUCCGGAAUCAUUGGGCGUAAAGGGCGCGUAGGCGGCCUGUUAAGUCGGACGUGAAAUCCCUCGGCUCAACCGGGGAACUGCGUCCGAUACUGGCGGGCUUGAAUUCGGGAGAGGGAUGUGGAAUUCCAGGUGUAGCGGUGAAAUGCGUAGAUAUCUGGAGGAACACCGGUGGCGAAGGCGGCAUCCUGGACCGACAUUGACGCUGAGGCGCGAAAGCCAGGGGAGCAAACGGG